Molecule: long non-coding RNA, 3144 nt
Organism: Oncorhynchus tshawytscha (Chinook salmon)
Lineage: Eukaryota; Metazoa; Chordata; Actinopteri; Salmoniformes; Salmonidae
Source: Ensembl
UGUUGAUGUGAGCCAUAACCAGCCUUUCAAAACACUUCAUGGCUACCAAUAAGCGUCACUGCAGUCCCUGGUUCAAAUCCAAGCCGUAUCAUAUCUGGCUGUGAUUGGAGUCCUGCGUGGUGCACAAUUGGCCCAGCAUCGUCCAGGUUUGGCGGGAUGUGGUGAGUGACUAUGUGGCGCGAAGAUGACUCAGCCAUAACUGCGUCAUUGGGGCCCUGAACAACCCUGCAGCCCACCAUAGGCCAUCACUGAGCUCGCCUCAGCAGCCAGAGUGGCAAACCAAGCGCGGGGGUGUUAAAGACAUGUGUCAGUGUGGGACGGGUUGGCCGUCCUAGUAUAUCCUGGUAUAUCUAUUCUUCACUGCCACAGCCAAACCACCAUCAUCCAUCUACAUCUACGUAUCAUAAAAGUUAUAUUAAGAUCCACCACUUCCUCUUCAGCACCUUUUUACACACGGGCCACGCAGACGCGGCCAAGCAGAAACCUGAGACCACCACCCACUCAGACCUUGAAUGUCACAGGAAAACUGGGUAUCCGUGCUGUUUUUAGUGACACGUCUUCACCGUGGCGUUAUGCACUGGUGUUUAUUGGAGCUGAACAGCUAACAAUUCUAGGAUGAGAGAACGUUUUUGUAAUGUUAGACGUAAUGUUCCCCUAAUGUUUGAGUAUCCAGCUUUCCUUUAGUUAGGGGAAGAAAAACCUGCAAACAUUUUUAUUAUGUUGUGGUGUUAAAAUUAGAACAUUCCCUUAAUGUCAAGCUGAACUUAUCUAGAACGUGGUUACAAUGUUCUCAGAAUAUGCAAUACUAAUGUUCUAGACACGUUUCAUGGGACGUUGAAAGAACAGACAGCACCUGUUAAAAGUUUGGACACACUUACUCAUUCCAGGAUUUUUCUUUAUUUUUUACUAUUUUAUACAUUGUAGAAUAAUAGUGAAGACAUCAAAACUAUGAAAUAACACAUAUGGAAUCAAAUAAAAUACAUUUUAAAUAAAAAAUUAUUAGUCACACGCCGAAUACAACAGGUGUAGACCUUACUUACAAACCCCUAACCAACAACGCAGUUUAAAAAAUAUGAAUAAGAAUAAGAAAUAAAAGGAACAAGUAAAUAUGUACAUGUAGGUAGAGUUAUUAAAGUGACUAUGCAUAGAUAAUAACAGAGAGUAGCAGCGGUGUAAAAGAGGGAGGGGGGUGGGGGGGGCAAUGCAAAUAGUCUGGGUAGCCAUUUGAUUAGAUGUUCAGGAGUCUUAUGGUUUCGGGGUAGAAGCUCUUUAGAAGCCGAUUAGACCUAGACUUGUCGCUCUGGUACCGCUUGCCGUAGCAGAGAGAACAGUCUAUGACUAGGGUGGCUGGAGUCUUUGACAAUUUUUUCUUUGACGUAGAUGUGGACAUUUGCCCGGCUCUGGGGAGGGAACCCACCUCCACUACCUGUCCUCCUGAGCGCAUCUACAUUCCCAUGGGGAUAAGGGAGCGACUGUUGACCUGGGCACACACAGUUGUCGUCGCUGGACAUCCUGGGAUCAUCCGUACUACACAAUCACUCUCCGAAAAGUAUUGGUGGCCCUCCCUGGCUCAGGGCGUUACUCGCUACAUCAACUCCUGUUCUGUGUAUGCCCAAACUAAGUCUCCCCGGCACACUCCAACAGGAAAACUCAUUCCCCUUCCCGUGCCUCAGCAUCCUUGUUCUCAUCUGUCCAUUGACUUUGUUACCGAUCUCCCCUCCUUUGACUGUUUCACCACCAUUCAUUCUGGUGGUUAUGGACAGAUUUUCUAAAUCAUGCCAGUUUAUUCCUCUCUCUGAUCUCCCUACCUCUCUCCAGGUUGCUGAGGCACUUUUCCAGCAGGUCUUCCGGCGCUAUGGCCUUCCAGAGGACAUCGUCUCUGACCGUGACCCCCAAUUCACGUCACAGGUAUGGAGGGAUUUCGUAGAGAAACUGGGGAGUCACGGUCAGCCUCACUUCCGUGUACCGGCCUCAGUCCAACGGACAGGUGGAGAUGAUAAACCAGGAGCUGGGGAGGUUCCUGAGAGUCACUGCCAGGACCGGCAAAGGGAGUGGGCCCGAUUCCUUCCCUGGGUGGAAUACACCCAGAAUUCAUUACGUCACUCUUCCACUGAGCUUACCCCCCUCCAGCGUGUCCUGGGUUAUCAGCUGGCCCUGGCUCCGUGGACUCUGAGCCAGACCAAGGCCCCUGCAUUGGACAAAUGGUUCCCGGCCUGCAGAGGAGGUUUGGAGUGAUGCACAUGUGAAGCUCCAGUGUGCCGUCCGUUGCCAGAAGAAGCGAUUGCCCCUGCAGUAAGGCGCCCGUGUUCCAUCCUGGUGAUUGCGUAUGGCUCUCUACCGGGAACCUCACUCCGCCUGCCCUACAAGAGGCUGAGCCCUUGGUUUGUGGGGCCGUUCCUGGUUCUCCGAAGGAUUGACGAGGUGACGUAUAGGCUUUGUUUCAUGCCUCCCUUCUCAGGCCGGUGGUUCCUGGCCCCCUGGUUGAUGCUGUCCCCCACAACCCCCCCCCCUCCCCGGAUGCUGAGGGGGAUCCUGCCUAUGCCGUCAGAUCCCUACUGGACUCCAGACGUUGUGGGGGUUGGCUCCAGUACCUGGUGGACUGGGAGGGGUAUGGCCCAGAGGAGCAGUGUUUAGGUUCCGGUGGAGGACACUGGACCCCAACAUCAUUUGUGAUUUCCAUUUUCGCCGCCUGGACCGGCCUGCUCCUUGGGGCUGUCCCUCCUGCGGCUGGAGUUGCGUGUCGGGGUACUGUCAAGUCUACUCUCGCUCCACCCCUCCGGCGUUUGAAAUUGCCAGUUUACUAACCACCGGUCCUGGCAUUCAUCAUUACGUGCACAUGGCAUUCAUCAUUACGCACACCUAUGCUUCAUCAAUAGGCACACCUGGACUCCAUCACUUCAAUGAUUACCUCCCCUAUGUCUGUCACUCUCUUAGUUCCAUUCCCCAGGCAGUAUUGACGAUGUGUUUCAUGUCUGUACGCUACUCGUGUAUCUUGCACUGUUGCAUGUUUAUUAUUAAACUCACCACUUGCACUUCCUUCCAGACUCCCAGUGUCCGCAUUAAAAGUAAAAAUAAAGAAAAACCCUUGAAUGAGUAGGUUUUCAUAAUUUUGACUGGUACUGUACAGUUUUCUGAGUAUGGAGA